This 332-nucleotide unclassified non-coding RNA is filed under the name soil metagenome. RNAcentral's name for it is "partial contains 5.8S ribosomal RNA, internal transcribed spacer 2, and large subunit ribosomal RNA". The stretch from base 1 to 120 matches the Rfam family "5.8S ribosomal RNA", at positions 35 to 154 of the family's 154-position model. The record is from RNAcentral.
GAUGAAGAACGUAGCGAAAUGCGAUAAGUAAUGUGAAUUGCAGAAUUCAGUGAAUCAUCGAAUCUUUGAACGCACAUUGCGCCCGCUAGUAUUCUGGCGGGCAUGCCUGUUCGAGCGUCAUUUCAACCAUCAAGCCCUGUUUAGGCUUGUGUUGGGGCCCUGCGGUUGCCACAGCCCCCUAAAUGCAGUGGCGGGCUCGUUGUCACUCCGAGCGCAGUAGCGUAUCUCGCUCUGGGCGUGGCGGCGGGUGCUAGCCGUGAAAUACCCACUAAGGUUGACCUCGGAUCAGGUAGGAAUACCCGCUGAACUUAAGCAUAUCAAUAAGCGGAGGA